Molecule: ribosomal RNA, 624 nt
Filed under: Klebsiella pneumoniae
Lineage: Bacteria; Pseudomonadati; Pseudomonadota; Gammaproteobacteria; Enterobacterales; Enterobacteriaceae
Also listed under: 2 other names
Description: partial 23S ribosomal RNA
Rfam family: Bacterial large subunit ribosomal RNA
Source: RNAcentral
AUCUAAGUACCCCGAGGAAAAGAAAUCAACCGAGAUUCCCCCAGUAGCGGCGAGCGAACGGGGAGCAGCCCAGAGUCUGAAUCAGCUUGUGUGUUAGUGGAACGGUCUGGAAAGUCCGACGGUACAGGGUGAUAGUCCCGUACACCAAAAUGCACAGGUUGUGAACUCGAAGAGUAGGGCGGGACACGUGGUAUCCUGUCUGAAUAUGGGGGGACCAUCCUCCAAGGCUAAAUACUCCUGACUGACCGAUAGUGAACCAGUACCGUGAGGGAAAGGCGAAAAGAACCCCGGCGAGGGGAGUGAAAAAGAACCUGAAACCGUGUACGUACAAGCAGUGGGAGCACCUUCGGGUGUGACUGCGUACCUUUUGUAUAAUGGGUCAGCGACUUAUAUUCUGUAGCAAGGUUAACCGUAUAGGGGAGCCGCAGGGAAACCGAGUCUUAACUGGGCGUUAAGUUGCAGGGUAUAGACCCGAAACCCGGUGAUCUAGCCAUGGGCAGGUUGAAGGUUGGGUAACACUAACUGGAGGACCGAACCGACUAAUGUUGAAAAAUUAGCGGAUGACUUGUGGCUGGGGGUGAAAGGCCAAUCAAACCGGGAGAUAGCUGGUUCUCCCCGAAAGCU